RNAcentral lists this ribosomal RNA (655 nucleotides) under uncultured bacterium. RNAcentral's name for it is "bacterial SSU rRNA". It matches the Rfam family "Bacterial small subunit ribosomal RNA", at positions 159 to 809 of the family's 1533-position model. The record is from RNAcentral.
GUAGCUAAUACCGCAUAACGUCGCAAGACCAAAGAGGGGGACCUUCGGGCCUCUUGCCAUCGGAUGUGCCCAGAUGGGAUUAGCUUGUUGGUGGGGUAACGGCUCACCAAGGCGACGAUCCCUAGCUGGUCUGAGAGGAUGACCAGCCACACUGGAACUGAGACACGGUCCAGACUCCUACGGGAGGCAGCAGUGGGGAAUAUUGCACAAUGGGCGCAAGCCUGAUGCAGCCAUGCCGCGUGUAUGAAGAAGGCCUUCGGGUUGUAAAGUACUUUCAGCGGGGAGGAAGGGAGUAAAGUUAAUACCUUUGCUCAUUGACGUUACCCGCAGAAGAAGCACCGGCUAACUCCGUGCCAGCAGCCGCGGUAAUACGGAGGGUGCAAGCGUUAAUCGGAAUUACUGGGCGUAAAGCGCACGCAGGCGGUUUGUUAAGUCAGAUGUGAAAUCCCCGGGCUCAACCUGGGAACUGCAUCUGAUACUGGCAAGCUUGAGUCUCGUAGAGGGGGGUAGAAUUCCAGGUGUAGCGGUGAAAUGCGUAGAGAUCUGGAGGAAUACCGGUGGCGAAGGCAGCCCCCUGGACGAAGACUGACGCUCAGGUGCGAAAGCGUGGGGAGCAAACAGGACUAGAUACCCUGGUAGUCCACGCCGUAAACGA